RNAcentral lists this ribosomal RNA (2772 nucleotides) under Cronobacter sakazakii. Its description in RNAcentral is "bacterial LSU rRNA". It matches the Rfam family "Bacterial large subunit ribosomal RNA". Lineage: Bacteria; Pseudomonadati; Pseudomonadota; Gammaproteobacteria; Enterobacterales; Enterobacteriaceae. The record is from RNAcentral.
AGCGUACACGGUGGAUGCCCUGGCAGUCAGAGGCGAUGAAGGACGUGCUAAUCUGCGAAAAGCGCCGGUAAGGUGAUAUGAACCGUUAUAACCGGCGAUGUCCGAAUGGGGAAACCCGGUGCACUUCGGUGCAUCAUCGUUAGCUGAAUACAUAGGCUAACGAGGCGAACCGGGGGAACUGAAACAUCUAAGUACCCCGAGGAAAAGAAAUCAACCGAGAUUCCCCCAGUAGCGGCGAGCGAACGGGGAACAGCCCAGAGCCUGAAUCAGCUUGUGUGUCAGUGGAACGGUCUGGAAAGGCCGGCGAUACAGGGUGACAGCCCCGUACACGAAGGCACACAGGCUGUGAGCUCGAUGAGUAGGGCGGGACACGUGAUAUCCUGUCUGAAGAUGGGGGGACCAUCCUCCAAGGCUAAAUACUCCUGACUGACCGAUAGUGAACCAGUACCGUGAGGGAAAGGCGAAAAGAACCCCGGCGAGGGGAGUGAAACAGAACCUGAAACCGUGUACGUACAAGCAGUGGGAGCCUUCGUAAGAGGGUGACUGCGUACCUUUUGUAUAAUGGGUCAGCGACUUAUAUUCUGUAGCAAGGUUAACCGUAUAGGGGAGCCGAAGGGAAACCGAGUCUUAACCGGGCGUUAAGUUGCAGGGUAUAGACCCGAAACCCGGUGAUCUAGCCAUGGGCAGGUUGAAGGUUGGGUAACACUAACUGGAGGACCGAACCGACUAAUGUUGAAAAAUUAGCGGAUGACCUGUGGCUGGGGGUGAAAGGCCAAUCAAACCGGGAGAUAGCUGGUUCUCCCCGAAAGCUAUUUAGGUAGCGCCUCGUGAACUCAUCUCCGGGGGUAGAGCACUGUUUCGGCUAGGGGGCCAUCCCGGCUUACCAACCCGAUGCAAACUGCGAAUACCGGAGAAUGUUAUCACGGGAGACACACGGCGGGUGCUAACGUCCGUCGUGAAGAGGGAAACAACCCAGACCGCCAGCUAAGGUCCCAAAGUCAUGGUUAAGUGGGAAACGAUGUGGGAAGGCCCAGACAGCCAGGAUGUUGGCUUAGAAGCAGCCAUCAUUUAAAGAAAGCGUAAUAGCUCACUGGUCGAGUCGGCCUGCGCGGAAGAUGUAACGGGGCUAAACCAUGCACCGAAGCUGCGGCAGCGACGCUUAUGCGUUGUUGGGUAGGGGAGCGUUCUGUAAGCCUGCGAAGGUGUGCUGUGAGGCAUGCUGGAGGUAUCAGAAGUGCGAAUGCUGACAUAAGUAACGAUAAAGCGGGUGAAAAGCCCGCUCGCCGGAAGACCAAGGGUUCCUGUCCAACGUUAAUCGGGGCAGGGUGAGUCGACCCCUAAGGCGAGGCCGAAAGGCGUAGUCGAUGGGAAACAGGUUAAUAUUCCUGUACUUGGUGUUACUGCGAAGGGGGGACGGAGAAGGCUAUGUCGGCCGGGCGACGGUUGUCCCGGUUUAAGCGUGUAGGCUGACUUUCCAGGCAAAUCCGGAAAGUUAAGGCUGAGGCGUGAUGACGAGGCACUACGGUGCUGAAGUGACAAAUGCCCUGCUUCCAGGAAAAGCCUCUAAGCAUCAGGUAACAUCAAAUCGUACCCCAAACCGACACAGGUGGUCAGGUAGAGAAUACCAAGGCGCUUGAGAGAACUCGGGUGAAGGAACUAGGCAAAAUGGUGCCGUAACUUCGGGAGAAGGCACGCUGACAUGUAGGUGAAGCCCCUGCGGGUGGAGCUGAAGUCAGUCGAAGAUACCAGCUGGCUGCAACUGUUUAUUAAAAACACAGCACUGUGCAAACACGAAAGUGGACGUAUACGGUGUGACGCCUGCCCGGUGCCGGAAGGUUAAUUGAUGGGGUUAUCGCAAGAGAAGCUCCUGAUCGAAGCCCCGGUAAACGGCGGCCGUAACUAUAACGGUCCUAAGGUAGCGAAAUUCCUUGUCGGGUAAGUUCCGACCUGCACGAAUGGCGUAAUGAUGGCCAGGCUGUCUCCACCCGAGACUCAGUGAAAUUGAACUCGCUGUGAAGAUGCAGUGUACCCGCGGCAAGACGGAAAGACCCCGUGAACCUUUACUACAGCUUGACACUGAACAUUGAGCCUUGAUGUGUAGGAUAGGUGGGAGGCUUUGAAGCGUGGACGCCAGUCUGCGUGGAGCCGACCUUGAAAUACCACCCUUUAAUGUUUGAUGUUCUAACCUGGCGCCAUAAUCUGGCGUGGGGACAGUGUCUGGUGGGUAGUUUGACUGGGGCGGUCUCCUCCCAAAGUGUAACGGAGGAGCACGAAGGUCAGCUAAUCCUGGUCGGACAUCAGGAGGUUAGUGCAAUGGCAUAAGCUGGCUUGACUGCGAGAGUGACGGCUCGAGCAGGUGCGAAAGCAGGUCAUAGUGAUCCGGUGGUUCUGUAUGGAAGGGCCAUCGCUCAACGGAUAAAAGGUACUCCGGGGAUAACAGGCUGAUACCGCCCAAGAGUUCAUAUCGACGGCGGUGUUUGGCACCUCGAUGUCGGCUCAUCACAUCCUGGGGCUGAAGUAGGUCCCAAGGGUAUGGCUGUUCGCCAUUUAAAGUGGUACGCGAGCUGGGUUUAGAACGUCGUGAGACAGUUCGGUCCCUAUCUGCCGUGGGCGCUGGAGAAUUGAGGGGGGCUGCUCCCAGUACGAGAGGACCGGAGUGGACGCAUCACUGGUGUUCGGGUUGUCAUGCCAAUGGCACUGCCCGGUAGCUAAAUGCGGAAGAGAUAAGUGCUGAAAGCAUCUAAGCACGAAACUUGCCCCGAGAUGAGUUCU